CUACAUAAGAAAAUGCCUUUACCAAAACAGGAAUCAUUUCGUUUUAUAUAUUUGAGCUAUUGAUUUUGUCAUUUGAUUAGGGACUUUCUGUCUUGAAUUUCUACGAAGUUCAGUGUUUUUGAGAUUUUACUUUUUUUUUUAAAUAAGUUUGUUUGUUUGACUCUUUGAAUUAGAAUAAUUGAAUGAAUUUGAGUUGUUCCUUUGUAUAAAGCACACAACUGUUAGACCUGAGAGUCUCCGAAAAUAUUCCAAGGUAAAGACAAAAUUGCGAGACAGCAAACUAAAAAAAAAAAAGAAUAUAUUCAGGACUUAGUUAAGUAUAUAUGCAUCCAUUGAUUCAAUUAUAUUAAACUUAUCAUCAAUUUAAAGAAACUGCUUAUCAUUUGAUUGACUUACUCUACAGGUCCUCUGUAACAUUGUAUCACAUAUAAAACAAACAUCAACAACUGAUUUCUUUCUUUUCAAACCUUUUGAGUUAAAUAUUUCGAAAGUUGUUUUUUUUUUUAAAGUUUUGUAGAUCAGCGUGCCCUUUUCAGAAUGAAAUGCAUAUAUAUUAAAGGUAUUUGAUGAAAGAUAUGUGAGAAUAUAUAAUAUGUAUACCAAAUUUAUGUUAAUGAAACACAAAAAAUAUAAAAUUGAAAACUGUUAUCUGAAAAAAACAAAAAAAAAACAGUACCAAUUUGGUGGGCCUGAAAAGCUUCAAAAGCCUCAAAGGCAUUGAACGUAUGAAUACUAGAAUAAUACUCAGCUUAAUGUUUAUGACACAAAGGUUUUUUUUUUCAAAUGAAUAGCAGACUCAUAAAAUGUCAACUGUUUUAGUUAUUGUUCAUGAUGAUAGUUAAGCGAAUAUAUGUUUUAAUCACGUAAAUAAAUGGCACAUAUAAUGGCAGCGCAUUUAAGUCCAGUGCAAAUUAAAAAUGCCUGUAUAGUUUUUUGAAGUCAUAAUUUUCUGUGAUACUUUGACUUGUGAUGGAUUAAAUACUCCAAAUAUCAGACAAAGGCGCUCAUUAGAAUCAAUAUUCUGAAAAGUGAAAAAUAUUUUUCCGUCGCAGAUAAUUAUAAACGAUAAUUCAUCUCUCUCUCUAUCUACCAAAAACCAAACGAUUCGUAAAAUGUAGAACCAGCUUCGUGACUACUUCCACUUGAUUGAGAACAACUCGUCACUGCUGGUUGUUGUCCAUUUCAUUAUGAUUGUUCAAUUUCAAAGUUUCAUGAUAGGUAACAUUAUGGUAUAAAUACAACUCAUGUACUUAUCGAUCAGAUUGAAAUAUUCAUUCCAAAACAACUCUUGCAUUUAAAAAAAAAACACAGCGGAAUUUCCAUAUAAAUCUGAGGUCUAGUAUAGGUAAUACUGAUCUGUAUUGUAAGAUAGACGAUUUUAAAAGGGAGAUAUCAAAACAUGAGGAUUGGUGAAGGAGAUUAAAGUUAAGUUGUAUUAAAUCCAUGUUCAGUCCACCAUUUUUUACAUAAGAAAAUGCCUUUACCAAAACAGGAAUCAUUUCGUUUGAUAUGUUUGAGCUUUUGAUUGGACAUUUGGUUAGGGACUUUCUGUCUUGAAUUUCUACGAAGUACAGUAUUUUUGAGAUUUUACUUUUUUUUUUAAAUAAGUUUGUUUG
This 1616-nucleotide long non-coding RNA is filed under the name Mytilus galloprovincialis (Mediterranean mussel). Lineage: Eukaryota; Metazoa; Mollusca; Bivalvia; Mytilida; Mytilidae. The record is from RNAcentral.